GAUGAAGAACUUAGCGAAAUGCGAUACGUAAUGUGAAUUGCAGAAUUCAGUGAAUCAUCGAGUCUUUGAACGCACAUUGCGCCCCCUGGUAUUCCGGGGGGCAUGCCUGUCCGAGCGUCAUUGCUGCCCUCAAGCACGGCUUGUGUGUUGGGCCUCCGUCCUCCUCCCGGGGGACGGGCCCGAAAGGCAGCGGCGGCACCGCGUCCGGUCCUCGAGCGUAUGGGGCUUCGUCACCCGCUCUUGUAGGCCCGGCCGGCGCUUGCCGACACAUCAAUCUUUUUUCCAGGUUGACCUCGGAUCAGGUAGGGAUACCCGCUGAACUUAAGCAUAUCAAUAAGGGAGGA
Molecule: unclassified non-coding RNA, 344 nt
Filed under: soil metagenome
Description: partial contains 5.8S ribosomal RNA, internal transcribed spacer 2, and large subunit ribosomal RNA
Rfam family: 5.8S ribosomal RNA (bases 1-120)
Source: RNAcentral